RNAcentral lists this ribosomal RNA (416 nucleotides) under uncultured bacterium. RNAcentral describes it as "bacterial SSU rRNA". It matches the Rfam family "Bacterial small subunit ribosomal RNA", at positions 355 to 774 of the family's 1533-position model. The record is from RNAcentral.
UCGAGAAUCUUCGGCAAUGGGCGCAAGCCUGACCGAGCGACGCCGCGUGGAGGACGAAGGCCUUCGGGUUGUAAACUCCUGUCGAGGGGAAGGAAGGGGCCGCGAGGCCCUUGACCGCUCCCUGGAGGAAGCACGGGCUAAGUUCGUGCCAGCAGCCGCGGUAAGACGAACCGUGCGAACGUUAUUCGGAAUCACUGGGCUUAAAGCGCGUGUAGGCGGGUCGGAACGUCGGCCGUUGAAAUCCCCCGGCUCAACCGGGGAAGUGGCGCCGAUACGACCGACCUGGAGCGACGUAGGGGGAACUGGAACUUCCGGUGGAGCGGUGAAAUGCGUUGAGAUCGGAAGGAACGCCCGUGGCGAAAGCGAGUUCCUGGACGUCGGCUGACGCUGAGACGCGAAAGCCAGGGGAGCGAACG